GGGGCUCUGAGUAGAAGCAUCUAGGGGGUCCCUCAAGAGGCCCCCAAACGCUUCCCCAUGGUGAGAAAAGAAGGCGCAGAGAGGGGCACGGCGCCGGCGCAGAGGGGCACACAGCGAGAUUUGCUGUUUUCUGCCUCCUGCUAAGCCAAUUUAUACAUUCCAAGAAAAUCUUCCAUUUCAUCCAGGUGAAACGGAACCUACUGGAAUGAAGCUGGCCUCCCAUGGAAUGAAGCUGGCCUCCCGUCUCCUUGAUUUGAAGCAGCUUCUCCACGUUGGUUAUUAUGCCAUUUUUCUAAAUCUAACAUUUUAAAAUUUGUGCCUUUUCUUUCUCUUUUGCUUGACUUCUCAGAGGUUUUUUUAACGGUCUUUUCAAAGAAGUGGUUUUGGGUUUUAUUUAUCAAGUCUACUUUUAUUAUGGCUGUUUUAAAAUUAAAUACAUUUAUUUCUUGUUUCCCUU
RNAcentral lists this long non-coding RNA (457 nucleotides) under Homo sapiens (human). RNAcentral describes it as "HSALNT0304049". The record is from RNAcentral. Lineage: Eukaryota; Metazoa; Chordata; Mammalia; Primates; Hominidae.